CCUACGGGUGGCAGCAGUGGGGAAUAUUGGACAAUGGGCGAAAGCCUGAUCCAGCCAUGCCGCGUGUGUGAAGAAGGCCUUCGGGUUGUAAAGCACUUUCAGUGGGGAAGAAAGCCUUGGGGCUAAUACCCUCGAGGAAGGACAUCACCCACAGAAGAAGCACCGGCUAACUCCGUGCCAGCAGCCGCGGUAAUACGGAGGGUGCGAGCGUUAAUCGGAAUUACUGGGCGUAAAGCGCGCGUAGGCGGUCUGAUAAGCCGGUUGUGAAAGCCCCGGGCUCAACCUGGGAACGGCAUCCGGAACUGUCAGGGUAGAGUGCAGGAGAGGAAGGUAGAAUUCCCGGUGUAGCGGUGAAAUGCGUAGAGAUCGGGAGGAAUACCAGUGGCGAAGGCGGCCUUCUGGACUGACACUGACGCUGAGGUGCGAAAGCGUGGGUAGCAAACAGGAUUAGAUACCCUGGUAGUC
This 465-nucleotide ribosomal RNA is filed under the name Vreelandella stevensii. Its description in RNAcentral is "partial 16S ribosomal RNA". It matches the Rfam family "Bacterial small subunit ribosomal RNA", at positions 338 to 795 of the family's 1533-position model. The record is from RNAcentral. Lineage: Bacteria; Pseudomonadati; Pseudomonadota; Gammaproteobacteria; Oceanospirillales; Halomonadaceae.